AAUGAACGCUGGCGGCAUGCCUAAUACAUGCAAGUCGAGCGGUGCGGCGGACGGGUAAGUAAUGCCUAGGAAGCUGCCUGGGCGUGGGGGAUAUCGUCUGGAAACGGGGGCUACUACCGCAUAGUAGCAGAUGAGCCGAGGUCGGCUUAGCUAAGUGGUGGGGUAACGGCCUACCAAGGCGACGAUCCGUAUCUGGGCUGAGCGGAUGAUCAGUCACACUGGAACUGAGACACGGCCCAGACUCCUACGGGAGGAAGCAGUAGGGAAUAUUGGACAAUGGGCGAAAGCCUGAUCGAGCCAUGCCGCGUGUGUGAAGAAGGUCUUCGGAUUGUAAAGCACUGUUAGUGGGGAGGCGUUACUAACAGAAAAAGCAACGGCUAACUACGUGCCAGCAGCCGCGGUAAUAC
This 407-nucleotide ribosomal RNA is filed under the name uncultured bacterium. RNAcentral describes it as "partial 16S ribosomal RNA". It matches the Rfam family "Bacterial small subunit ribosomal RNA", at positions 29 to 526 of the family's 1533-position model. The record is from RNAcentral.